AGUCGGCCCCUAGGGUGGAGCUGGGAAGAGCGAGUCCUGUGGAGGAUGCGUUUCUAUUUUUAACCCAAUUGUCCGCCCUCAGCCUCCCUCCUUCGGAUUUUCUCAUUCAAACCCGUUUUUCGCCAUCCUAGUUCUCACGCUUUGUCUCCAGCCCUGGGCAGACAUUCCCUCCCCCAAGAAUCGUAAGGAUUCACCCCCAGAAAAGGAAAAGAAUUGCCUUAUGGCUUCGAGGUCUUUUCUGUUUAUGAAACCUCCUCACUCCCCACACCCAUUUUGAGCUCCGAAGUCCAGCCCGAGCGUGGCCCUGACGCAGCUGGCGGCGUGCGUUCGCUCGCCCAAGGUCACGGGUGGUUGUGCGGAGUGAGGAAACGCGCGGCCGCCCAGGGCUGCCAAUGCCCCGGCGGCGCUGUUC
This 412-nucleotide long non-coding RNA is filed under the name Homo sapiens (human). RNAcentral describes it as "non-protein coding lnc-GDA-7:1". The record is from RNAcentral. Lineage: Eukaryota; Metazoa; Chordata; Mammalia; Primates; Hominidae.